UUACUGCUCUUUCCCUGUUGGACCUGCUAGACAUUGCCCUAGGCAAUGCUGGAGGACGGGCGCUCAUGCCCUCAUCCUCAGGUGGCACUCCAGUCAAUCGUGCAGAUCGACGAGUUCCUCUCAUCCUAUUUUCUGAAAAACAGCACACAUCAAGCAAGCAUUAGAAUCAUAUGGUUCAUGUGGGCACACAUGAACCCUCAUCACAAACGUCACAUAGCAUAGCAUAUCAUUAAUGCACAUGCAUAAAGUCAUGGCAUUUCACAUUAUCAUGCAAGACAGGACUCCACAUCCUAUCCUAGUGGACAUG
RNAcentral lists this long non-coding RNA (307 nucleotides) under Manihot esculenta (cassava). RNAcentral's name for it is "long non-coding RNA (MESC_LNC012647)". The record is from RNAcentral. Lineage: Eukaryota; Viridiplantae; Streptophyta; Magnoliopsida; Malpighiales; Euphorbiaceae.